ACCAAACAUGCGAGGCAGUCUUGCUUUACAAUGGCUUACUUUUUUUUUUUUUUUUUUUUUUUGAGGCAGAGUCUUGCUCUGUCACCCAGGCCGGAGUGCAGUGGUGCAAUCUUAGCUCAUUGCGUAAUUGCUGAUAGAUUUUGGUUUAUGUCUACCUCAUUGCUAUCCGUUUUAUAUUUGAUCCCUUUUAUUUCUCUCCUUUUU
RNAcentral lists this long non-coding RNA (204 nucleotides) under Pan troglodytes (chimpanzee). RNAcentral describes it as "long non-coding RNA NONPTRT012205". The record is from RNAcentral. Lineage: Eukaryota; Metazoa; Chordata; Mammalia; Primates; Hominidae.